Molecule: ribosomal RNA, 253 nt
Filed under: uncultured bacterium
Lineage: Bacteria
Description: partial 16S ribosomal RNA
Rfam family: Bacterial small subunit ribosomal RNA
Source: RNAcentral
GACGUAGGAUGCGAGCGUUGUUCGGAUUUAUUGGGCGUAAAGCGUACGUAGGCGGCUUGUUAAGUCUGGUGUUAAAGCUAGGGGCUCAACCCCUGUGUUGCACUGGAAACUGGCAGGCUUGAGUGUGGUAGGGGAAGGUGGAAUUCCUGGUGUAGCGGUGAAAUGCGCAGAUAUCAGGAGGAACACCAGUGGCGAAGGCGGUGCUCUGGGCCGGAACUGACGCUGAGGAGCGAAAGCGUGGGGAGCAAACAGG